CACAUUGUAGAAAGAAAGACAAGCGAGGAGAGACUUCUAACACUUUCUUUUUGAAUCACCGGACUCUGGAUUGAGACGUUGUGGAUCCGUGGUGAUAGUUCAUUCGUGAUUAUCAUCCCGACUACGAGUUUGAUUCGAGGAGUUUUUCGUGGUUCUCAGAUUGAGGGUCUCAAAAAGGCUAUUCAUGAUGUGCGUACUUAGGACUGCUUGCCUAGGCUGUCCAACUGCUUGGACUGCUUGGCUGUCGGACUUCCAGGCUGGCGUAUAAGAAAGGCUCCAGAUGAUGGGCACGGAGUAGGGGCCUUGCUGACUGCCUGGACUACUUUCAUUUGAUGCUCAGGAGGUAGGACCUGCCCGGACAACUUGCUAAGGCUGUCAAAUUGCCAGUACGGGCUGUCGGACUCUUCGCCUAUUCACGGGUGGCAAAAGCUGAAGUCACGCCCGUUCACUUGUUAUGUUCUGGGAUUGCAUUGCCCUUUUUGGAACUUGUUCCUUAUUUUCACGGACCAAUCAAGUAGAUUGUGAAACGUUCACUCAUUCAAAUUAUCAAUAUUCUUAGAAUUAUCAUUUAA
Zingiber officinale is the source of this 572-nucleotide long non-coding RNA. RefSeq lists it as uncharacterized. Lineage: Eukaryota; Viridiplantae; Streptophyta; Magnoliopsida; Zingiberales; Zingiberaceae. The record is from RefSeq and is a predicted model, not a curated record. The transcript is spliced from 2 exons.